CUACGGAGGGUGCAAGCGUUAUUCGGAAUCACUGGGCGUAAAGGACGCGUAGGCGGGUUGGCAAGUCAGAUGUGAAAUCCUACAGCUUAACUGUAGAACUGCAUUUGAAACUGCUAACCUAGAGUAUGGGAGGGGGAGAUGGAAUUAGUGGUGUAGGGGUAAAAUCCGUAGAUAUCACUAGGAAUACCGAAAGGGAAGGCGAUCUCCUGGAACAUAACUGACGCUAAGGCGUGAAAGCGUGGGGAGCAAACAGGAUUAGAUACCCUAGUAGUCC
Molecule: ribosomal RNA, 274 nt
Filed under: uncultured bacterium
Lineage: Bacteria
Description: partial 16S ribosomal RNA
Rfam family: Bacterial small subunit ribosomal RNA
Source: RNAcentral